Molecule: transfer RNA, 112 nt
Filed under: Desulfomonilaceae bacterium
Lineage: Bacteria; Pseudomonadati; Thermodesulfobacteriota; Desulfomonilia; Desulfomonilales; Desulfomonilaceae
Description: tRNA-OTHER
Rfam family: tRNA
About the family: Transfer RNA (tRNA) molecules are approximately 80 nucleotides in length. Their secondary structure includes four short double-helical elements and three loops (D, anti-codon, and T loops).
Source: RNAcentral
GGGCCCAUAGCUCAGCUGGUAGAGCUACCGGCUCAUAACCGGUUGGGCCCACCAGGACUCGAACCUGGGACCAACCGGUUAGUCCCAGGUUCGAGUCCUGGUGGGCCCACCA